CUGCUGCCUCCCGUAGGAGUCUGGGCCGUGUCUCAGUCCCAGUGUGGCCGGCCACCCUCUCAGGCCGGCUACCCAUCGUCGCCUUGGUAGGCCAUUACCCUACCAACUAGCUAAUGGGACGCGAGUCCAUCUUUCAGCGUCAGGUCUCCCCAACUUUUCCUAUAUAAACGUGCACUUAUAUAACUCAUCCGGCAUUAGCUCACCUUUCGGUAAGUUGUUCCAGUCCAAAGGCAGGUCACUCACGUGUUACUCA
RNAcentral lists this ribosomal RNA (253 nucleotides) under uncultured bacterium. RNAcentral describes it as "partial 16S ribosomal RNA". The record is from RNAcentral.